This 380-nucleotide long non-coding RNA is filed under the name Androctonus crassicauda. Lineage: Eukaryota; Metazoa; Arthropoda; Arachnida; Scorpiones; Buthidae. The record is from RNAcentral.
GUGUAUAGUUGCUUUCUGAACAUACUGUAUAAUUAUUACAUCUUGAAAAUGUUCUUGUGCCACACUUUCAAGAAGUGUUACAUAUAUAGUCGAUAUAUAUAUAUCGAUGGUAAAACCAUAUUUAUUUUUCAUUACGAUGAUAGUCAUGUGACGUUUUACUUCUCGUUCAACAUGGCAGGGUACUUUGUUCGUUUAUCCCAUUCUGAAGUAAAUUUUUCGGAAUAUCUUUUUAUCGGUGCCGCUUUUACCUAUAGUUCUAUUAUUAUUUUUGACUAGUUUGAUAACAUAUAUCAAGUGAUAUCACAUUUGGAAAUUUCGUGAAAAGCAGAAUCCAGCCAAAUAUAAUUUAUGUUCUUAAUUAUAUUAAAUUUUAUUGACAC